Molecule: ribosomal RNA, 505 nt
Filed under: uncultured bacterium
Lineage: Bacteria
Description: partial 16S ribosomal RNA
Rfam family: Bacterial small subunit ribosomal RNA
Source: RNAcentral
GACGAACGCUGGCGGCGUGCCUAAUACAUGCAAGUCGAACGCACAGUUUAUACCGUAGCUUGCUACACCAUAGACUGUGAGUUGCGAACGGGUGAGUAACGCGUAGGUAACCUGCCUGGUAGCGGGGGAUAACUAUUGGAAACGAUAGCUAAUACCGCAUAAUAUUAAUUAUUGCAUGAUAAUUAAUUGAAAGGUGCAAUUGCACCACUACCAGAUGGACCUGCGUUGUAUUAGCUAGUAGGUGAGGUAACGGCUCACCUAGGCGACGAUACACAGCCGACCUGGGAGGGUGAUCGGCCACACUGGGACUGAGACACGGCCCAGAACCCUACGGGAGGCAGCAGUAGGGAAUCUUCGGCAAUGGACGAAAGGCUGGCCGAGCAACGCCGCGUGAGGGAAGGAGGUUUUCGGAUCGGAAAGCUCUUUUGUAAGAGAAGAACGGGUGUGAGAGUGGAAAGUUCACACUGUGACGGUAUCUUACCAGAAAGGGACGGCUAACUACGUG